RNAcentral lists this transfer RNA (74 nucleotides) under Candidatus Bathyarchaeota archaeon. Its description in RNAcentral is "tRNA-Val". It matches the Rfam family "tRNA". From Rfam's summary of the family: Transfer RNA (tRNA) molecules are approximately 80 nucleotides in length. The record is from RNAcentral. Lineage: Archaea; Thermoproteati; Candidatus Bathyarchaeota.
GGGCCGGUAGUCUAGCUGGUUAGGAUAUCGUCUUGACGUGGCGGAGGUCGUGGGUACAAAUCCCAUCCGGCCCA